Molecule: ribosomal RNA, 465 nt
Filed under: Vreelandella stevensii
Lineage: Bacteria; Pseudomonadati; Pseudomonadota; Gammaproteobacteria; Oceanospirillales; Halomonadaceae
Description: partial 16S ribosomal RNA
Rfam family: Bacterial small subunit ribosomal RNA
Source: RNAcentral
CCUACGGGGGGCUGCAGUGGGGAAUAUUGGACAAUGGGGGCAACCCUGAUCCAGCCAUGCCGCGUGUGUGAAGAAGGCCCUCGGGUUGUAAAGCACUUUCAGUGAGGAAGAACGCCUGGUGGUUAAUACCCAUCAGGAAAGACAUCACUCACAGAAGAAGCACCGGCUAACUCCGUGUCAGCAGCCGCGGUAAUACGGAGGGUGCGAGCGUUAAUCGGAAUUACUGGGCGUAAAGCGCGCGUAGGUGGCUUGAUAAGCCGGUUGUGAAAGCCCCGGGCUCAACCUGGGAACGGCAUCCGGAACUGUCAAGCUAGAGUGCAGGAGAGGAAGGUAGAAUUCCCGGUGUAGCGGUGAAAUGCGUAGAGAUCGGGAGGAAUACCAGUGGCGAAGGCGGCCUUCUGGACUGACACUGACACUGAGGUGCGAAAGCGUGGGUAGCAAACAGGAUUAGAUACCCGGGUAGUC